GAUGAACGCUGGCGGCGUGCCUAAUACAUGCAAGUCGAACGCAUUGUGGUUGAAAUGAUAUGAAGAACUUGUUCAGAUUUGAUUUUCAACAUUGCAAUGAGUGGCGAACGGGUGAGUAACACGUGGGAAACCUACCUCUUAGCAGGGGAUAACAUUUGGAAACAAAUGCUAAUACCGUAUAAUAAUUAAAACCGCAUGGUUUUAGUUUAAAAGAUGGUCUUGCUAUCACUAAGAGAUGGUCCCGCGGUGUAUUAGUUAGUUGGUGAGGUAAUGGCUCACCAAGACAAUGAUACAUAGCCGAGUUGAGAGACUGACCGGCCACAAUGGGACUGAGACACGGCCCAUACUCCUACGGGAGCAGCAGUAGGGAAUCUUCCACAAUAGGACGAAAGUCUGAUGGAGCAACGCCGCGUGUGUGAUGAAGGGUUUCGGCUCGUAAACACUGUUGUAAGAGAAGAAUGACAUUGAGAGUAACUGUUCAAUGUGUGACGGUAUCUU
Molecule: ribosomal RNA, 498 nt
Filed under: uncultured bacterium
Lineage: Bacteria
Description: bacterial SSU rRNA
Rfam family: Bacterial small subunit ribosomal RNA
Source: RNAcentral